AGGUCUUGACAUACCGGGCAAAGCUCUAGAGAUAGAGAAAUAGUUAUGCCGGAUACAGGUGGUGCAUGGUUGUCGUCAGCUCGUGUCGUGAGAUGUGGGUUAAGUCCCGCAACGAGCGCAACCCUUGUCUUUAGUUACCAUCAUUCAGUUGGGGACUCUAAAGAGACUGCCGGUGACAAACCGGAGGAAGGUGGGGAUGACGUCAAAUCAUCAUGCCCCUUAUGACCUGGGCUACACACGUACUACAAUGGCGCAUACAACGGGAAGCGAAGUGGUGACAUGGAGCAAAUCUCAAAAAGUGCGUCUCAGUUCAGAUUGAAGUCUGCAACUCGACUUCAUGAAGAUGGAGUUGCUAGUAACCGCAGGUCAGCUAUACUGCGGUGAAUACGUUCCCGGGGCUU
RNAcentral lists this ribosomal RNA (401 nucleotides) under uncultured Erysipelothrix sp. Its description in RNAcentral is "bacterial SSU rRNA". It matches the Rfam family "Bacterial small subunit ribosomal RNA", at positions 976 to 1382 of the family's 1533-position model. The record is from RNAcentral. Lineage: Bacteria; Bacillati; Bacillota; Erysipelotrichia; Erysipelotrichales; Erysipelotrichaceae.